GACGAACGCUGGCGGCGUGCUUAACACAUGCAAGUCGAACGGUAAGGCCCUUCGGGGUACACGAGUGGCGAACGGGUGAGUAACGCGUGAGUAACCUGCCCUUCACUCUGGGAUAACAGUUGGAAACGGCUGCUAAUACCGGAUAUUCAGCUCCUGUCGCAUGGUGGGGGUUGGAAAGUUUUGGUGGUGGAGGAUGGGCUCGCGUCCUAUCAGCUUGUUGGUGGGGUGAUGGCCUACCAAGGCGUCGACGGGUAGCCGGCCUGAGAGGGCGACCGGCCACAUUGGGACUGAGAUACGGCCCAAACUCCUACGGGAGGGAGCAGUGGGGAAUAUUGCACAAUGGGCGGAAGCCUGAUGCAGCAACGCCGCGUGCGGGAUGACGGCCUUCGGGUUGUAAACCGCUUUCAGCAGGGACGAAGCGCAAGUGACGGUACCUGCAGAAGAAGCACCGGCUAACUACGUG
Molecule: ribosomal RNA, 463 nt
Filed under: uncultured bacterium
Lineage: Bacteria
Description: partial 16S ribosomal RNA
Rfam family: Bacterial small subunit ribosomal RNA
Source: RNAcentral